GCCUGCACGAAGCCGGAGUUGCUAGUAAUCGCGAAUCAGAAUGUCGCGGUGAAUGCGUUCCCGGGUCUUGUACACACCGCCCGUCACACCAUGGAAGUUGGGGGUGCCCAAAGCCGGCAAGCAAAUAUGCUGUCUAAGGCAAAACCAAUGACUGGGGUGAAGUCGUAACAAGGUAGC
This 177-nucleotide ribosomal RNA is filed under the name uncultured bacterium. RNAcentral's name for it is "partial 16S ribosomal RNA". It matches the Rfam family "Bacterial small subunit ribosomal RNA", at positions 1314 to 1500 of the family's 1533-position model. The record is from RNAcentral.